Molecule: long non-coding RNA, 777 nt
Organism: Saccostrea cuccullata (small rock oyster)
Lineage: Eukaryota; Metazoa; Mollusca; Bivalvia; Ostreida; Ostreidae
Exons: 3
Source: RefSeq, a predicted model, not a curated record
UUAGUAAAUACAGUGAAUGACUAUCAAAUGUGGACGUUAUUUUAACUUUUCUUCAAAAUAAAAUACAAAGAGGUGAAGAAGGAAGUUUUGUCAAAUUCCAAAUCUUCUAAGUUCACACCUGCAUAUUGAAAACACCAGAGGAGAUGGACUAUGAAUUCCCCUCCAAAUAGAACAUGUGAAAAUUUGGAAGCAGGUCAUUUGAUUGGUCAAGCUGGUGCAACGCUACCAGUGUUAUACACCAUGCAUGUACACCAUGCUGCUGUGUGACCAAGUGAGGGGCAUCACAAGGAAGGGGAAGAUAUCUAGAUCAUUCAUGGAGCCUUCAACAUCGUAUUAAAACCAAAUUAUAAAGAGAACUCAAGAAGCCAGAGUUUUACAUAUAGUCAUGACCAGUCAUGACAUUCAGCAAAUGAAUGAGUAUCUGAUGAAAAUUAGUGAGAGUUUUCAGAGAAUGGGAGAUACCGUCGGGACACCUUCACUAAGCCUGCUAUAUUAUACUACAACAAUAUAAUGACAAACAUUGCUGUUAUUCUCCCAAAGAACAUCAAAGAAAUAGUGAAGUCUUACAGUAUCUGAAGAAAAUCCUAGUCUUGCUUAUAGUAUUAUACCUGAAGGAAGUUUUGACCACUUGUCCUGAAGUUAUUCAUGCAUAAUAACAUGGGUCCACUAUGCACUACCAUGAAUAUGCUUCAAAUAAUUUAAAAAAAAGAAUUUAAUAAUGUACAUUCUUAAAUAAAAGAUAAAAAGUGUAUAAACAGUAGUCUCAUGUAAAAUGAU